GCUGGGUGUGGUGGCACACGCCUGUAAUCCCAGCAGCUUGGGAGGCAGGGGCAGGAGGAUCACGAGUUGAAAGCGAGCCUCAGCAAUUUAGCAAGGCACUAAACAACUCCAUGAGACCCUGUCUCUC
RNAcentral lists this small RNA (127 nucleotides) under Marmota monax (woodchuck). The record is from RNAcentral. Lineage: Eukaryota; Metazoa; Chordata; Mammalia; Rodentia; Sciuridae.